CACACGUAUGGCCACGGAAACGCUUCUCUCUCACACACACUCCCUCGAAUCCUUCCCGCGACCCUCCCGCCCUCACACGAUCGCGGCUCCUGCAGCCCAUCGACUGCAGCCCCUCUGGGCGCACCUUGACACCCACCAGCCACGCCUCUCCUGCACGCCGCGGAGCCCCACCGGCACACCUCUGCGCUCCGGCCUUCGCCGCAGGCUCGCAUCUCCUGUGCUCUUUCCCCGCAACGCACACCCCGGCUCAGCUCGCACACCGUCAUUCCUCAGGGGCUCCCUCCAGCCACCCGGGAAAGGACUUGCAGAGGAAGCACAGCGCGCCGGCGCCGGCGCAGGCCUCGCCGCUCGCUCGCUGUAGGCCCUGCUGUGUAUUUAUACCCAGGAGGGAGAUAGCGACCCCCACCCCAUCACAGACUGCUCCCCUUUCUCCCUGUGUCCUGACUGGUGUGGGGAGUUUUCGCCCCAGGGACCACGGGAGCACAGGUGACACGACACGGCCUGACUGCUGAGCCCGUGCCUCUCCUUGGAGCCCUUCCGUGGAUGACCCUGAUCCGCCUCUCUAGGGCCAAAGAUCAGAGGCUCCCCUAAACCACACCACCUCACAUCUCCCCCACGGGCCUUUGUUUCCGUGCAGACGGUGUCAGGAAUGGCCCUUCUCUAUCGAGUGGGAUUCGCAGAUCCCCACUCCUCCACGCGGAAGCAGAACCUUCACUACCCACGUCCAAUGCACGGGAAGCCGCCCCGAGCCUACCGGCCGACAGGCACAGCCUCACGCCAUCCAGACGCUCUCACUGGAGGGGUGGAGGGACGGGAACGCCAGGCAGCUGGCGGUUUCAGCAUCAGAAGCCUCCUUGCAGGGUGCCCUGUCCUUGGCUGAUGGCCAGAGGGCGAGCCCCAGGACACUGCUCUGUCCCUGAGUUUCUCUGCCCCGGCCUACGCCUUUGAGAGAUGCCCCUUGUGCGACGCCUGUGUUACCUCCGGGGCAUCAGUGUCUCCCCCAGAAGGACUGAGUUCAUGUGGCAGGCACAUCAGGAUCAAGAAAUCGAGGGAACUGGAUCCCAAAUCAACCACCGCCAUUUGAUCAGCAUCAAGAGACAGAAGAACGGAGCAAGCCCCCGAGGCUGCACACAGACAGGUGUUCCUGCCUCACCGAGGUGGGCGUCUCACCGCUGUGGCCUCUGUGCUAGUGUGCGUCCGGGUACACCCAGAGCACAUGACAACUGAGAGGGACACGCCCUGGGACCCACGGAAACAAAAUCAUUCGUGCCCUGCGUUGAGCCCCCGUCCAGCUCUCCCGCCCAACAAGCCAGUGUCUUGGUGAAAAGCUGUACAGUGACAAUCUCCAAUAGAUCCGAGGGCGUGACGCCACACUGCCACGCUGCGCCCAGGAGCCUGAGAGCGGUUGUUCCGUGUGUGGAGCUGGUGCCUGGGGCGCAGCUAGAGCAGGGGCGCAUGGGACAGCAGCCUUCACUGCUGACGGAAGCCCACGCUGGGUCUGACCUUGCUGGGGCAGGAGGGACUCCGAUCAGUCCCUGCUGGGCGCUCUGUGUGCUGCUGCGCCCCUCCCCACAUCUCCUGAGACCCCUCCCCAGGGCAGGGAAGAGGGCAUUUGCACAGGUCCUGGGAGGAGCAGACGAGGGGGUUUCCAAGCAGUGAGGAAGGUACCAGCCCAGGUCUCAGUGGAGGGGCACUGGGAGGAAAGACGGCUGCAUGGGAGGAAGGUGGGUUCCACAGAGACGAACCGGGCGGUGAGCCUUGGGUGGCAGUCCCCAAGUGGAUACCCCUCCCAUCCCGCCCUCCCCCUCGUCCUAAUGGAUGAAGCUCCCCCUAGGUGUGGGGAGGGUGGCCAGCAGCUGGCCAGCCCCCAAGAGGGGGACAGACGGACUGCACAGAGCCAGCUGGGCUCCUGGCUUGUCCGGUUCUCUAAAGACCUCCAGGGAGGGAGGGCCACCCCCAGGACCAGGGUGGGCUUGUGGUGGUACCUGGGGGGGAUCCCCCACCUGGGGUUCAAGCCCCACCCCUCAUGGCUGGUGAGUUCAGGGUGGCUGACCCUCCAGGAAGGGAGGUCCAACUAGCGGUCACUUCACACUAUCUUCUGUGCUGUGCCCGGCCAGGCCCCACUGGUGUCAUGUGGAAACUGUGAGAGAAAGAGGCAGUUACCAUGGAAACAAGGUGUGUUCAGAAGAGAAACCUCUGAGGUAGAAGAAGCAACGGAGAGAUGCUUUGUGGGCGCCCAGUGCUGGGGUCAGUCCUCCUGGAGGCCCCCCCAACCCAGGCCUCCGGGUCACACUAUGGGGAUCAGGAAGGUAGUCCACCCACCACCCAGAAGGGCCUGUGGAGCCACGUGCUGGGGCCUGGCAGCCAAGAGCAGGUCCUCCUCUGGAGCCCAGCAGCUGCCGGCCAGGUGUGUCUACCUUCCCUGGGCUGGGGGGAUGCUCUGUAAGUGCUCUGUGCAGGAGGCUGAGGGCCCUGCUUUGGGGCAGCCGUCCUGGGUGCCAGGAGACGACCCUGCAGUGGUUGGGCUGGCGAGAUCCUGCGGUGAUGGGCCCUGCCAGGUCAGGCCCUGAGGGCACCUGGGCGGGACACCUGACCUGGGUCUCCUCCAGGGAGACUCGUCUGGCCACUGGCCCUCCACACGUGUGCCCUUGGACCAGACAGUGUCUAGACGGGCACUGGGAGGGGCCUGGGAAAAUCCCAGGCCCUCAGGCUUCCCACAGUUCCACACCCCUCCCAUCCUACCCUACCCCUUCCCCCGCCACGCGCACCUGCCUGCUGCAAGGUUACCCCCCAGGGUGGGGGGUAGAGCAGACCCCUGGGGGGAGUCCCAAGGCCCCUGUGCCCAGCACUGCUGUCACCCACACACCGCACACUCCCCUCUUCUCUACAGAGACGAGGGCUUCGUGCUCUCAGGGCACCUGGGACGUCCACAGCCAUGGCGGACAGAAGCCGCACCUUGUCCAUGGGGCUGGCACAGGGACCAGACCGAUGCCUGCUGACUCCCAGCCCUCUUACUCCACAGCCAGGGGUCCCUGGGGCUUGGCCUGGGGGACAUCUGUUCGGUGGCCUCCACUGCCCAGCUUCUGACCACAGGCCGGGACCCAUCCCCCAGUGAGCUUUUGUUAAGCACGUAGCCAUCACGGCCCUGUCACGGGCAUGCAGCUGCACCCCAGCCCACCUGCAGCACAAGGGCCUCCAAGCUGGUGAGCCCUGUGGAGGGAGGGGUGGCCUGGGGGGCAGGACACAGGGUGCCCCUGGCCUGGCCUGUUACAUAGGGUGACCUGGGCCUGCAGCACAGUGACCCCACAGGCAGCCACACGUGUGGCCUUCACCCCAGGCCCAGCCCUGGUUUUUCAGUCCUGACUCAAGUCCCAUCCCCUGGUGAGGAAGCAGGAUGAGGCCCAACCAGCUCACUUUUUGUGGUUUAACAUUUUCCUUUUUUUUAAUAACAGUUUUAUUGGGAUACAAUUCACAUGACAUUUAAUUCACCCGCGUAAAGUGUACAGCUAAGCCAUUUUCAGUCUAUUCACAGACUAGAGCCACUGGAACCUGCAGUCCAUUUGGGACAUUUUCAUCACCCCAGAAAGAAGCCCUGCACCCCUCAGCUGUUACUCCCCGUUCCCCCAGUCCCUCGGCCUGAGCCGACCACUCAUCCUGUCUCCUACGGUUUGUAUGUCCCGGAGAGCUCACAUAUGCAGAACCGUGCAACGCGGAACUUCCCGUGUCUGCCUUCUCUCUUUAGUGCGGUGUUUUCCAGGGUCACUCCUGCUGUGGCGUGGCUCCGUGUUUCGUUUCUUUUCAUGGCCAAAUGAGAGUCCAUUGUAUGGAUAGAUCACAUUUUACUUACCCACUCAUCACGUGACAGACUUCUGCAUUGUUUCCACGUUUUCACCAUUAAGAUUAAAGCUUCUGUGGACACUUGUACGCAGGUUUUAGUGUGGAUGUGUGUUUUCGUUCCUCGGAUAUACACCCACCAGUGGAACAGCAGGGUCAUAGGGGAAGUCUAUGUUAGCUUUCUGAGGAACUGCCAGACCAUGUUCCAAAGUGGCUGUACUAUUUUCCAUUCCCAUUGGUAGUGUAGGACGGUUCAUCUUGCUUUUUAAUGCC
This is an RNA transcript of Rhinolophus ferrumequinum (greater horseshoe bat), 4107 nucleotides long. RefSeq lists it as uncharacterized. The transcript has 4 exons. NCBI's taxonomy places the organism in Eukaryota, Metazoa, Chordata, Mammalia, Chiroptera, Rhinolophidae. The record is from RefSeq and is a predicted model, not a curated record.